RNAcentral lists this ribosomal RNA (301 nucleotides) under uncultured bacterium. RNAcentral describes it as "partial 16S ribosomal RNA". It matches the Rfam family "Bacterial small subunit ribosomal RNA", at positions 509 to 807 of the family's 1533-position model. The record is from RNAcentral.
CAGCCGCCACGGUAAUACGAAGGGGGCUAGCGUUACUCGGAAUUACCGGGCGUAAAGCGUGCGUAGGUGGUGGUUUAAGUCCGUUGUGAAAGCCCCGGGCUCAACCUGGGAAUUGCAGUAGACACUGGGUCACUAGAGUGUGGUAGAGGAUAGUGGAAUUUCCGGUGUAGCAGUGAAAUGCGUAGAGAUCGGAAGGAACAUCUGUGGCGAAGGCGACUAUCUGGGCCAACACUGACACUGAGGCACGAAAGCGUGGGGAGCAAACAGGAUUAGAUACCCCGGUAGUCCCUGUCUCUUAUAC